Molecule: transfer RNA, 72 nt
Filed under: Stegodyphus mimosarum
Lineage: Eukaryota; Metazoa; Arthropoda; Arachnida; Araneae; Eresidae
Rfam family: tRNA
About the family: Transfer RNA (tRNA) molecules are approximately 80 nucleotides in length. Their secondary structure includes four short double-helical elements and three loops (D, anti-codon, and T loops).
Source: Rfam by way of RNAcentral
GCCUUCGUGGUGUAAUGGUCAGCACACUGAGCCGGUAGUCAGUGGUCCGCGGUUCAAUCCCCGGCGAAGGCA